GUUCAAACUCAGUCCUGCUGCAACAUGCAAGUUCAACGGCUCCGGACUGGUCCGUGUGACGAUACAGUGGAAGUGCAAAUACUGAUUCUUUGAGAGCUUUGGAGGAGACAAGUUCUGCAGGUUCUGCAUGGCAAUGAGGAGUGAGAACCCCGAACUGCAGACAUUCACAACAGACAGGUACAGGAGGUACAGCAGGAUCCCACUUUGGCAAAAUAGUAUGGUGUAAAGGGGCGAUGUGUACUAACUGACAGUCUGGAGUGCUUUCAUGUUGUUCGUGGCUGUCCCCCUGACAUCCUGCACGACCUUUUUGAAGGGGUUGUUCCUGUUGAGUUAUGACUCUGCAUUUCAGAACUGAUUUCUAAGAAAUAUUUCACAUUAGAAACACUGAACCAUGCUAUCAAAUCUUUUGCAUAUGCUUUUCAUGACAAAACUGACCAGCCUCAGCCUAUUGCCCAAGGCUUCUCUACCAAAGGGACCAUAGGUGGAAAUGGCCAUGAGAACUGGGCUCUAAUCAGGUUGCUCCCACUUCUCAUUGGCCAUAAGGUGCCUGAAGGGGACAAUGCCGGGAACUUUCUGAUGCUCCUUAAAGAUAUUGUUGAAUUGGCUGUAGCAACAAGGCACAUGGAGAUGCUGGAUAGGUGUUUUUUUGUGGAGCUCAAACUCAUUCAACAUUUACACUAGGAAACUAGGGCUCACUAAAAAUCGCCAUUGAGGGAGAAUUGGUGAUGGACAACAUUCAAGAUCUGCCAAAAGCUGUGUGUCUUUGGACUUGCAUAUGCAAUGCAUCUCAAUUACCCCAUUUCUAUGAAGUUCACGUUCCAGUUCAUCCAACAGGUAUUUCUUGAGCUGGGCCAUGUUGAACUAAAACCAAAGUUACAAACAUUGAAAAACCAGCUUGCAAUGUAAAGAAAUGUCUUGUGUGUUGUCAGUGAACAGUCAGGGGGUUGAAUAUAUACUCAAGGGCAACUUUAUCAACUCCAUCUGCAUUAUCUAAUGCAGUUCAGUGCAGCAGUACUGCCACAACUUUUAUUUCUUAAGACAGUUUGUAAUGUUCAGUUUACAGUGUUAUAAGAGACAUCAAUGUCAGGCCACUUGUACUCUACAGGACAAGAUGUGUACGCUCAGGGCUCCAUAGUAAUACUUAGCUGAUACAGUUAAAGGAAAAUUCAGCACUUUUUGUGUAAAUGUCCAGUUUGUGUUGAUGGUAAAUGUAGUCAUUUGAAGCAAUGUAAUUCUUCCUCAACAGCAACAUCACCGCUUGUUUUACAGGUUUUCUCAGUCAAUAGCAGCACAGGAAUUUAUUGCUUCAGUUGGUUACAUUUACUAAUAACACAGACUGUACAUUUACACAAAACAUGCAAAAUCUUCCCUUAAACAUAGUUGAUCUGUUCAUUUUCAAGUUGGAGGUUGUGUUCAAUUUUAAGGUGUCCAGUUUUUCCAAAACGAUGCAAAUGUUUUUGUUAAAUGCUGCCACGUUUGUAUUCCUUCUCUAAACAUGUUAGAAUUGAUUUCAAGCACA
Archocentrus centrarchus (flier cichlid) is the source of this 1519-nucleotide long non-coding RNA. RefSeq lists it as uncharacterized. The record is from RefSeq and is a predicted model, not a curated record. The transcript has 3 exons. Lineage: Eukaryota; Metazoa; Chordata; Actinopteri; Cichliformes; Cichlidae.